CAUCACAUAUCUCAAUUUUUUUCCAUAUCAGUGAUUAAAAUAGAGAAGACAUUCAGUAGUCCUUUAACUGUACUGCCAUUUGGCUAAUAAAUGUUCACUUCUGGCUUUGCCUAUAUGUUUGUUUAUUUUUCUUUUCUUUCUUUAGCUUAUGUUUUUUAUUUGCAAACUCUUCUAAAAUUUCUGAGACAAAUUUUAUUUGUAGAGUUUCUAUGUGACAUUUUAAUACUUGUACACGUUAUGUAAUAUCCAAUCAGAGUAAGCAUUUCUUCUCAUACGUUUAGUAUUUCUCUGGUGAAAGCAUUCAAAAUCCUUCAGUUCUUUUUCCCCUUGGAGAAAUGUACAAUGCGUUAUCAUUAUCUGUACUCACUCUACUGUACAAUAGCGUAUCAGAACUUCAUACUCCUAACUAUACUUUGUCAUAUAUUCAUCAAUCUCUACCCUUUCAUCAGCUUCCUUCCCUGGUUUUUAAUAGCUGUGAUUACACUGUUAACUUCUAGGAGAUCAACAUUUUUAUAUUUUUUGCAUGAGAGAGAUCAUGUGGUACUUGUGUUUCUGUGCUUGUCUUAUUUCCCAGAAUAUAAUGACUUCCAGCUCCAUCCAUGUUGUUAUAAUUGACAAAAUUUCAGCCUUUUAUGGCUGAAUAGUAUUCUAUUGUGUAUGUAUUAUAUGUGCCACAUGUUUUCUGUCUGUAUAACUUGAUGAACAUGUAGGUUGUUUCCAUUUAUUAGCUACUAUAAUGGAAUAAUGCAGCAGUAGACAUGGGAGUGCUGAUGUAUCUUCAGUAGACUCAUUUCAUUGCUCAUGAGGUGUAUAUUUCAUUAGUGGAAUUGCUAGAAUAUAUGGCAGCUCUGUUACUAGUUUUUGUUUAAAACCUCUAUAUUGUUUGCCCACAAUGACCGUAUUAAUUUACAAUCCCCCAACACUGUGCAAAGCUUUUCUUUUCCCACAUCCUUGGUGACACUCAUUAUCUCCUUUUUUAUAUAAUAGCCAAUAUAGUUAUAGUCAUAUGAUAGCUAAUUGUUGUUUUACAUGGCCAUUUGUAUAUCUUCAUUUUGUAAAUGUCUGCUUAAGUCCACUGCCCAUUUUUAUUUAUUUUUGCUGUCAAGUUGUUUGAGUUCCUUAUAUAUAUUCUGGACAUUAAUUCAUUGUCAAAUGUGUAACUUUCAAAUAUUUUCUCCCAUUCUGCAUGUUGUCUUGUCACUUUGUUUACUGUUUCCUUUGCUAUUCAGAAGCUCUUGAGUUUGAUUAAAUCCCAUUUAUUUAUUUUGCUUUUGUUGAGGUCUGAACCUAAAAGCCUUUGCUCGUUCUAAUGUCUAGAAGUAUUUCUUCUGUGUUUUUUUCUAGUAGUUUCAAGUCUUAAAUCCAUUUUGAGUUGAUUUUUGUACAUGACAAGAGAUGAUGUUCUAGAUUCAUAUUUCUGCAUGUGGAUAUCCAAUUUUCCCAGAGCCACUUGUUGAAUAUACUGUCAUUUUGCCAGUGCAUGUUAAGACAUUUCUUGAUAUGAAUGAAAAUGGAAAUGCAACAUAUGGAAACCUACAGAAUAUGGCAAAAGCAGAACUAAGAGGGAAGUUCGUAGAAAGUUCACAAAUAGAAAACUCAUCACUGCCCUCUAAAGAACUAGAAAAACAAGCACAAAUAAAAUCCAGUAUGUGGAGAAAAUCAUAAAAGUUAGAGUAGAAAUAAAUGAAACAGAUAAAAGUACAAUGUGGAGGGGGCACAUUGUGAUGCAGUGCAUUAAUCCACCAGUUACAUGUGCCUACAUCCUGUAUCAGAGUCCCUGGUUUAGUCCUGGCUGCAUCAUGCUUCCAACCUAGCUUCUUGCUAGUGUGCCUAGGAAACAUUAAUUGAUGGCCCAACUGUUUGCUUUUCUGCCAGCCACAUGGAAGACCCAGAUAGAGUUCAUGUAUUUGGCUUGGGCCUGGCCUACCCUUGGUUGUUGCAGGCAUUUGGGGAAUAAAACAAUGGGAGAUCUCUUCCUUCUCCCACUCCCUUCUCUCUGUCACUUUGCCUUUCAAAUAAAUAAAUAUUUUUAAAAAAUACAAAAAUAUAAAUGAAACUAGUACUUUGGGGGUAAAAAAGCACUUAGCUAGACUAAGAAAAAGAGAUUCAAAUACAAUCAGGAAGGAAAAAAGAAAACUUUACAAUUGAUACCACAGAAAUGCAAAAGGAUUUUUAGGAAUUAUGUGCAAUUAUACAGCAACACAUUUGAUUACCUAAAAGAAAUGGACAUAUUACUGCAUGUAGCUACUACAGUUCCUCAAGAUGAUUCAAGUACUAAUUUUAUUUCUUCAUUAUACCUACAUUUUGUGUGUCUAAGGAGUUAAUCACAGUCUCUUCAACCCAUUGUCUUAAGUAAUCAAUGAAAUAGUCAUUUUUUAUAAGACUGAUGUAUCCUGAAUGCCAGUUGUUAAGUGUAUGCAAGACAAUAACAUGAACAGAUGACUCCUUAGAAUAUUUAUAUAGCCAGUGGUGGCUAUUGUGAUCUUCAAAAAGUGCAUGGAAACUGAAUGUUAUAAAAAAUGCAUGGAUUUCAAAAUACUUUUGCACUAAGUAAACACGUUAAUCUAUAUUCCAUGAACUUAGUGAAGUACCUUCUAUAGUGCAAGAAACUAAUUGUUUUGUGAUCCUGAUACUUCUCAGUGUGUGGAAUUCACAUGUCAGCAGCAAAUCUACUUGACUUCAAUGAAAUAUGUUAAGAAUUGCACAAAACUGUGCCCUUAUGGAAAAUGCAUUGGCUGCCAUUUGGUUUUCAGAUGGUACACUUAGUCAAAGCUGAAUUUAAGUGUCUCUUGUUCUUUUAAAGAAUAUCACAUUUGGUCAGAUUAGCUCAUUUAAAUGUUUCAUGAAAUGAACUAACACACUGCAGGUACUAACUGUAUAUACUAACUGAACUCUUGGAUAGAAAUGUCGGUUGGGAGGAAUAUUUGAUUGUUUUCCGUGGUUAUGUUGAAAGCCAGGUGAUGAAGACAUCUGGUAACGAAAGAAGAUAGGAAAGAAAAUACUCUCCGAGUUUGGAAAUGUUAUUUUAGUCUUUCACCUGCUUUGAGAUGAAAUGCACAAAAUGCAAAUGACAAGAUGACUAGGCUAUCAUCGAUAGUCUCUUGUCACAGAGGACCUUAGAGAUUCCUGUGCUUCAGGGAAGAGUGGGAGAAGAAGCAGUGGGUAAAUGAAUGCUUUGUGUGUCCUAAAUGUUAGAGAGUAAGAAACUGAGAAAUGACACAUUGUAGAUAAUACCCACUUAUAUAGGAGAUAAUUUAAUUACAGAUCUAUCAUUUCUACAUAUUUAUUCAAAGAAGUCUUGGCUAUUUAUAGUUUUUGUUGCUAUAUAUUCUGCCAACAUGCAUCUUGUGUAUGUGUUUUUUCUUCUCUAGGAUUGAUUCAUUUUCUUAUACAUUGUGGACAAGAAUGCAGAUUCACUGAUAAGAGGAGUAACACAGGGAUUCAUCCACAUUGAACCAACUACAGACGUAGUUACUGUUUUGUUUGUUCUGUCCUCUUUUUUUUUCUUUUUUUUUUUUUUUUGACAGGCAGUAUCCUCUUUAUUCCAUCAUUCAUUAGGCAUCUAUUGACUGUCUCAGACUCUGUACAGUUUGGAUGGAGUGGGAAACAAAAGGAAACAUGAAGUACAUAGUUUGCCUGCCAGGGUUUUUGCAGAUUAUGUAGAAAUGCAUUUUAUAGUUUCAUGAAAUAAUACGUAGUGAUAAAGGGCUAGUAUGUCUUUAUGAAAAAAUAACAAUAAAUAGAGUUGUGGGUUUCAUAGGCUGAGGGGAUUAGAUAAUCACACUCAGAUUACCUACCUCUAGGCCAGCUUUUAGGACAAUUCUAUCUUUAGGAAAGAAAAGCUUAUGAAGUUUCUGUUCAUUAAUCCAGGUGACUCAGAAUCUCAUUAACCUGACUGCUGAACCAUCUAUAUUCUGUUCCAGAGCUUGUACCCUGUGCUAUACCUGGGACAAAGCCAUAGCAGUAUGCCCUGUUGACAACUGUUAAUUUUGUUCUUCUGUAUUUGUAAUGCCUUUGAUUUUCAAACAAGGAUUAUGUGAUAAAAUUGCCAUACUUGGGAAUGAGUUGUAGUCUUUUAGGCCUUCCUGUUUUUACAGAAUUUGCUAAUAACAUAGGAAUAUAAAAGUUCUAAGGAUAACUCGGGGUAAUAGAUUAGCAAAUAUAUACAUGAGAAGGGCCAGAGGCUUUGUUUUUUGGUAUGACUUAUUUCUGACAUGUUAGAUCAUAAAUAGACUUCAGUAGGCUAAGACAGCAUGAUGCCAGUAGACUAAGAGGAGAAUGAGAGUUAAGUGAGUGAGAAUAAAAUGAGGAUGAAAAGUGCAUUUCAUGGAAGGGUAAAAGCAACAGGGUAGGAAGUAUGGAACUAAGGCCCAGAAGAGCAGAAAAUAUGGUAUAUUUGUUAUUGCAUUCCAAAUGUCUAACAUAGUCUCUGGAACAUAGUAGAUAAAAUACAAAACCUGCUGAGGACCAAUUGAGAGAGGACAUCACGUUGGAGAUUCCAGAAGUAGAUUAACGUAAAAUGAUAGUUGAAAAAAUAGGGAGUGGUGCCACUAUUGUAUACCCAAGUCAAAGAAAUAGGACACUCCCAAAAAAAUCAUCUGAAUUUUGAAGGAUUGUGAGGCCAGGGUAUUGUCUGGAGGCAAUUUUCCAGUAACAACUGGGAUAUAACAAUUCUACAGUUUGAUCCUACACACAUGCAUAUACACAAAGAACAAAAACCUCACAGAUAAUAAUAGCAGGAAGUAGUCAUAAAGUCUACUGGGGAGCAAUGAACAAGCAGGUCUCUCAUCCCAGCCACUUGAGUUUGUGGGAGGUAUGUGGGGUACAGGGGAGGGAAAGGCAAAAACCUUGGACAAGAUUGGAUGCCACAUGGUAAUUUUUAAAAAUAUACAUUUUGCAAUAGAAAGAAAAUUUUAAUAAAAAAUAUGAGGGCUUUUGUUCAGAACAGAGUAGAGAUUGCACAGAAAGGGGCAUAGAUAGAGCCAGUCUUGGGAGAAGAAAGUCUGGGAGGAAUGGAGAUGAUCUGAAUAAGGCUGAGAAACUCAGGAUUAUAAAGAAAUGAUGGAAUUAGGGGAAAUCAUACCAGCAAGAAUGGGAAUUUUGUUUUUGAAACUUAGAGAUACUUAUUUUUCUAGAAUUACUAGGUAUGCAAGUGGAAAUACCUAGUGAGUAGAUAAACAUGGUUAAAUGCAGUUACGUAAACCAUUUUAUAAUGCCUACCAUUUUCAUUACUUUCCUUUCAAUUUUUGAUACAUUCUGGAGGAAAUGGACACUGUGGCAAAACAUAAUCAAUCACUACUGUUGAGAAGCUAAACAUUGCUUAAGAUGCUGAAGGUGGCAUUUAAUGAGUACUUGUUAGGUGUCAGGAAGGAUUUGACAAGCUUUAAAGGAAGCAAUUUUUAUUAGUAUCAAAGGCAUUGUAAGAUGAGUACCUGCAUUGUCUCUGAGCCAUAGAGCACAUGAAAGGUAAAUAAAUAAUCCUACAUUCAUACAGAAUCCAGUAAUGGAGUUGUGAUUGGACAAAAAUUGUCCACUACAUGAUUUUUCAUCUUGAUAAUGAACAUUAUAAUCUUUCAGACAACCACCAACCUUCACUCCUGUUUGUGGGAAAGUUUUGCAGAGUAUUCGUUUUGCUACAUUUAGCGAGAGCAGAUGGGACGAUGGAACGGGUUAAACAAUAGAGGGAGUCAACACUGACAGAAUAAUGUGAGCCACCGUGUGAGCAUUACAAAGAGAUGAAGGAUGACACAUCAUAAUUCAAUGGGACGAUCAGAUGUGAUGGAUUUCCUAACCACCCAAUCUUUCACUGACAAGCUUGUCCCUUUCUUUGUGAUUCUGCCUGAUUACACUGGCCUGCAAGAUGCCAAAUAGCCCUAGUGUUAGAAGGCACUAUGAUGCACUGUCAAUCAUUCACGAAGAGGUGAGAUGAACUAGGUUACAGAUAAUCCCUAAACUCUUCCUAAAAUUUUGUGUGCUGGUUGUCUGUGCUAUCCUAAAUUCAUUCAAUUUCUAAAAACCUAGUGUCUUAAAAACCCAGGAGAGGAGAGAUUGGUUCAAUAAGGCUGCAUGAUCUCAGAUCACUAAAUGUUAUGUUACUUGAGUUCUAUGAGGGACAGCAGUAGUGCCUAAAAGAUUCUCUGUGUUUGUGUAAUUUAAUUUAAUUAACAGGACCAAUCUAUAAUUCUAUACAUGUAAAAUUAUAGAAUCUUACCAUGCCAAAUUUAAGAUGUUGACUUAGAUCCAUAUGUAUUGACUUGGAAUGAUGUCCAUAGUGUCUUGUAGGUGAAAGAAGUUCCAAAAUAUAACAUAUACUUGGAUUCUACUUAGGUUACCUGAUUGGAACACACUGCUUUAAGAGCUCUCUAAUUGAACAAUCUGAGGAUCAGCUAGCAUAGCAGCUGAGUGUGAGGGAUGUAGAAUGAGACCACCAGGCUUUGAAACCAUGGCACACCUCUGAGUGAAUGUUUCAUUUUUCUCUACUUCAAUUUCCAAAUUGGCAAAGUGGGUUAUAAUUGAAUGUGACUAAUAGAAUUCUGUUGACUAUUAAGAAAUCAUAUGUACAAAAACAUUACCACGCCUGGUUUAUAGUAAACAUGAAGAUAAUUUAUUACUCUUAUAAUAGAGAAAUAUGGAAGAAGGUUUACUAACAUGUUAACUGUCAUUUCUUUCCUCUUGGAAGCAUUUUUUAUACUUUGAUAACAAUAGAGGAUUAUUUGUUAAUUUUUAAAGGUUUAUUUAUUUUGAAAAUUUGAGCUACAGAAAAGAGGGAGAGACAGAAAUCUUCCAUCCACUGGUUCACUCCCCAAAUGGCCACAGCAUCUGAGGCUGAGCCAGGUUGAAGCCAGGAGUUUCAUCUGGGUCCCUCAUGUGAGUACAGAGGCCUAAAUACAUGAGCCAUUCUCCACUGCUUUCCCAGGCACAUUAGCAUGGAGCUGGAUCAUGGAGCUGGGACAGGAACCAGCAUGUAUUUGGGAUGUUGGCAUCACAGACUGGUUUUACCCGCUGUGCCCCAAUGCUGACCCCUCUUGGUUAAUUUUGUUAAGAAAAUAGGUAGAUUCUUUGUCUUGGAAGGAAAUUUAUGUACUAUUUUUUCCUAAUUUUCUGAGUAUGGAGACCUACAUUACAAGUUUUCUAGCACACUUAUCUUCAACCUCUGCACAAACUCCUCAUGUUAUCUCUUACACCGUAAGAGGUAUGAGGACAAACCCUCCAUUUUCCAGUCUCUUUGAAUGUUUCAUGGAAUAAGUAUUGCCUAAAUAGGACUUUAAUUAAUUGUGGUUUUCAGAAAUCAAGUCAUUUCUCUCCCAAGUCAUUGUCACCCUAUCAUGGGAUACAUCUAGAUUGUUAAUGCAAUUCUCAUUCUCUCUCUGAGAGGAUUUCAGUAACAUUGCCUCCUAGGGCCAAAGGGAAAACACCUACACCUUAGCACUGUCCUGAGUCUUUUUCACAAGAUCUUAUCCACAGAAGAGUUCCACUUUCCUAUCAUUAGCGUUAACAUCUCUCCCCCAAAUAGCAUCAUGUUUCCUUCAGUGGCUGUUGGACAAGACUGUAUCAGGAAGAAUAUAGCACAAAGGGCUGCUCAUGAGUGAAUGUGAAUUUCCUACUCUAUCCUCUCAAGUUAUUCCAAACAAAUAUUUCAUACAAUAAUUUCCAGACUCAUGAUGGGAUAUGAAGGAUAGGAGUAAACAAGAAGUGUGUGUUUAGAAUUCAGCUUUCCUUUUUAAUUUUUUGGGGGUUUUAUUUAUUUUGAGAGGUAGAGUUACAGACAGAGGGAGAGACAGGUCUUCCAUCUGCUGGUUCACUCCCCAAAUAGCUGCAAGGACUGGAGCUGAGCCAAUCCAAAGCCAAGAGCUUCUUGUGGAUCUCCCACAUGGGUGCAGAGGCCCAAGGGUUUUUAGCAUCUUCUACUGCUUUCCCAGGCUAUGAGCAGAGAGUUUAAUUGGAAUAGGAGCAGCUGGGGACAUGAACCAGCACUCAUAUGAGAUGCCAGCGUAGCAGGCUGAGGUCUUGCCUACUCUGCCACAGCAGCAGCCCUUUGGGUUACCUUUUAUACCUGGGAUCCCUGUUUUUUGGGCUAAAAGUCUGUUAACUCCAUGACUUUGUCCUGACUCAGAUUACCUGUAGGCAUUAUAAUGCCCAAGGCUGUUUUCAGAGGAAAGCUUUAGCCCAGAAAGUACCAUGCCUUUGAGUAGAUCUGAGUGGUAUUUGCAACAAGGAGAACAUUACAAUAUUUGAGUAACAGAUACAGUUGGAGGUUAUAUGACACACAGCUCUGGAAGAGUAAGAAGCCAUGUACAACUCUAAGUAUUAAAUACACACAUAAUGUAAAAGAGUAGACAUCUACCACUUGCAUUUUAACAGGCAUUAGACAAAUGGGUUUGCUCUUGCAUCAUCAAAGGUUGCUAUCCACUCGGUCACUGUGAAACGCUCCCUGCGGGUUGGUGCUGUGGCGCAGCGGGUUAAAGCACUAGCCUGAAGCACCAGCAUCCCAUAUGGGCGCUGGUUCUAGUCUCAGCUGCUCCUUUUCCGAUCCAGCUCUCUGCUAUGGCCUGGAAUAGCAGUAGAAGAUGGCCCAAGUCCUUGGGCCCCUGCACCCUCGUGGGAGACCUGGAGGAAACUCCUGGCUUCGGAUUUGCGCAGCUCCGGCCGUUGUGGCCAUCUGGGGAGUGAACCAGUGGAUGGAAGCCCUCUCUCUAUGUCUCUACCUCUCUCUGUAACUCUGUCUUUCAAAUAAAUAAAAUAAAUCUUAAAAAAAAAUGCUUCCUGAUCUUUGGGUAAGGAAUCAAUGCAUGCAAACCUGCUCACAUAAGGCUAGGGAAUGAGAAUGAACAACUUCCUCCCAGCAGUGCCUCUGUUCUUGCUGUUACUCUCUUCUUUUGGUGAUCUCCAGGAUUCUUGGCUCUAACUAUCUACUUGGUUUUAUGGCAAUCCCAAGUUCCUUCCUGAAGCUGAUCUCUUAUGGCUUGUACUAUGCAAAGACACUAUGGCUCUGCUGAGACAAUAAGCUAAAAAAAAAAAUAAAAUACAGGGGCCAGUGCCGUGGUGCAGUAGGUUAAUCCUCCACCUGUGGUGCUGGCAUCCCAUAUGGGCACUGGUUCUAGUCCCAGCUGCUCCACUUCCAGUCCAGCUUUCUGCUAUGGCCUGGGAAAGCAGUAGAAGAUGGGCCAAGUCCUUGGACCCCUGCACCCAUAUGGGAGACGGGGAAGGAGCACCUGGUUCCUGGCUACGGAUCUGUGCGGCUCUGGCCAUUGCAGCCAUCUGGGGAGUGAACCAACGGAAAGAAGACCUUUCUCUCUGUGUCUCCCUCCCAAUGUCUGUAACUCUACCUCUCAGAUAAAAUAAAAUCUUUUAAAAAAAUACAGUUGCACUGAAGAAUAUAUGAAAGCACCAUGGUGGUAUUAAAAUAGAUAUCUAAUCUUCUGGAAAACUUUACCUAAGAGAGAUGAGGAUUUUGCUGACCUCUGAGAAAUUUUAGUUUCCUAUUUUUAUUUUGAGGUUCUUAGAAGAAAACAUGGAUUUUAAUGGGACUUUGAUUACAUAGCCAAUGCAACAUCAUGACCCAGUACCACUUUUGUUUGCAGCACUGAUCCUUAGGUCUAACAAAGACCACCAAUAACAAUGGAAAACUGUGGAAAUUCAUGGGUGCCUGCUUAUCUACUUGCUGGAUCUGUGCCUGUUUUCCCUUGUAUAAAUCAUAGAUAUCGUUCUUUUUAGUUGAGGUUAAAUGAUGAAGCCCUCAGUUGGUUUACUUUGCCACUUUGAUUUUUUUGUUCCUCAGCCUCAUCUCUUCCUCUCACCUCUCAUAAGCAAAGUGCAUUUUUCUUGGUCUUAUUUUAUACACGGUUUCAUGGCUUUAUCCUACUUUACUGAAGGGCUUUACCCUUUAUUGAUUCUUUAGAACUUACUAUACUUCUUUUUUCUUAAUUUUAUAUUAUCAGUAGCAAAAUCUGUCAAGGAGAAAAAUAUAUUUUCAAUUAAAAUUGAUACAAAUCUGUCUUACUGACAAGUAUGGCAAUUGAAAAUGCAUUGUUUUAUCAAAGGAAAAACAACAGCAUUCCAUCUCCAGUUCCUUUGUGAAAAAUACAUUUUUUAAUAAUUACAAUUAUAGCCUUUUUACUUUCUAUAUAAUGAAUAUAACAAGCAUUAUCUUAUAAAUGUAGUUUCAGGAAUGAUAGUAUAAUCCUUUCCACUGUCAUUAUUGAUUAAUUUGAUUAACAUUAUUCCUAAAAUACUACAAAGAACUAUUUUAGCAUUAAUUAAAUUUAUAUGAGGCCUCAGGUAGGAGCUGUGCAAGAGAUAUUGCAAGAAAAAUGGCUGUACUCCUAGGUCAGUGAUUUGCAAUUGCUCUUGCUGGCAGUUAUCUGAAUUUUGAAAGAGCAUGAAUGAUCAAGCAUGAAUAUGUGAGGCCAUAUUAGAAGUAUAAUUGUCUGAGAAGACUCGAGGCUACCUUUUUUUUUCCAUAUUCACUAUUUUUACUCUUCUUUCAGCAAUUCAUAUAGCUUAACAAAAAUGAACUAUUGGAUGUAAUUUAUUUUUACAGACUAUCAUGGUAUUAACAUGGUAUUAUCACUUAGAGAUAUGUUUUUGACCUUAUAAAUUAAAUGAAAAUACAUACUUUUCACUACUUAUUUAGAUGAAUAGAAAACUUUUUUUAUAGUGUUAAGAUGAUGGCUCUGCCUGGCAGGUAACUAUUCUUUUUUUUUUUUCAACUUUUAUUUAAUAAAUAUAAAUUUCCAAAGUACAACUUUUGGAUUAUAGUGGCUUUUUCCCCCCAUAACCUCCCUCCCACCUGCAACCAUUUCAUCUCCCACUCCCUCCCCCAUCUCAUUCUUCAUCAAGAUUCAUUUUCAAUUAUCUUUAUAUACAGAAGAUCAACUUAGUAUAUACUAAGUAAAGAUUUCAACAGUGUGCACCCACACAGAUGUACAAAGUAUAAAGUACUGUUUGAAUAGUAGUUUUACCGUUAAUUCCAAUAGUACAACACAUUAAGGACAGAGAUCCUACAUGGGGAGUAGGUGCACAGUGACUCCCAUUGUUGAUUUAAAUAUUGACACUCUUAUUUAUGAUGUCAAUAAUCACCCAAGGCUCUCGUCAUGAGCUGCUAUUAACUAUUCUAAUAUGUUUGUUACCAUUAUUGUAUAUACACUGGAGUGCUAACCAUCUAAUUUGAAAUGAAAUACACUGGUUAAAAUUCACUAAUAUAUUCAAGUGAUUUUUAAGGAUCUAAGCCCUUUCUCAUAUCCUGGAGAUAACAGAGACAUAAUCUGCAUCUUCCAUGUAGUUUUCAAUGUACUGAAAAGUAAUAAACAAAUGACAAAUCGUUUCUAAGUGUCCUGGUAGAAUUAUGUAGAGGGCAUAGUGGUGGCUUUAGGAAAGGAACUACCAACUAUUUAUGGAAGUAUUGUGUAAAGCAGUAAUUCUUAAAUUUAGUUUUCAAAGUCAGGAUUACAUAACUAGGAGGCAGGAAGGGGAAAAAAGUUAUUCUUGCAGAAAACAUGUUAAAAGUAGGAAAUAGGCUAAGACCUGGAAAGUCAGAUUUAGCAGACUGUAGUAAGAGAUAAGGCUUAAAUGAGCAGCCUUAGAACACAUGAGGCACCAUGAUAGAGUUUGGAUUUUAAGAAUAUGAUCUGAUGGCAAUAUUUAAAGUUAGAUUUAAGGAAGGUGAAAAUAUACUUGAUGUGUUAUGAAAAUGGUUAGUCUAUUGUAAUCCAAAAGAAUUGUAGAUGGCAGGGAAUAAGAAGAGAUCUUGAAGAGAGGUGAAAAGAUUUAAGAGUUUUAUAAUGAAGUUUAUAACAACUUGGACCUUGAUGGGAAUGGAAGCAGUUUAGGAUGGAAGGGAAGAGUCGGUGGUAGCCAUUGUCAUUGGGUUUGUGUAACUUAGUGGAUGUCAUUGUCAAUAACUGGAAAAAGGAAUAGAGGAAAUAGAAGUUUAAGCAAGGUUCUGCUACUGGUAUAAUAAAUUAUCUCCAAAAUUAGCCAUUAGGAGAACAAGCACACAGCCUAUAUUUUUCUUUGGUCAGAAGUUUGGGAACAACUUAGGAGUUAUGGCUAAUGUUCUUUGAUGCAGUUUCAGUAAAGAUGUUGGCCACAAUUACAAUCAUUUGAAGGCUUAAAUGAGGCUGUAGGAACUGUUUCCAAAAUAGUUUAUUCCACAGUUGUUGUCAGGAUGCCAGUUUCUUAUCACAUAGGUUUGCUUGAGUAUCCUCAUGACAAAGUAAUUGUUUUUUUCUGAGAGUGAGUGAGUAGGAUCAAGGAAGAAGCCACAAUGUCUUUUAUGACUUAGCCACAUAAGUCACACAUGCCGGUUCUAAAAUAUGGCUAGCCUAUCAUUGCACAGUUCAGCACAAUCUAAUAUGGGAGAGGACCUGGAAAAGGCAAAGAUACUAGGAAGCAUGGAUCAUUAGGGCCAUCAUGAAGCCUUGUACCACAGGGCAUGUUGAGUUCAAUUGUCGGUAAGUAGCAAUCUCAGGAAGUAGUAAAUAUAUAUACAGAGUCUGCAACAAUUCCUUCCAGAAACAAUAUUUAGAUGGAUGAUAGACAAAGGCAAAAACAUAACAUUAGAGAGUAUCUACAUUCAGAAGUCAUUCAGAGGGAAUUACUAUAUUAAAAAGACUGAGUGGGCCGGCGCCAUAGCUCACUUGGUUAAUCCUCUGCCAGCAGCGCCAGCAUCCCAUAUGGGCGCCAGGUUCUAGUCCUGGUUGCCCCUCUUCCAGUCCAGCUCUGUGCUGUGGCCCGGGAGGGCAGUGGAGGAUGGCCCAGGUGCUUGGGCCCCUGCACCCGCGUGGGAGACCAGGAGGAAGUUCCUGGCUCCUGGCUUCGGAUCCGCGUAGCUCCGGCCGUGGCGGCCAUUUGGGGGGUGAACCAAUGGAAGGAAGACCUUUCUCUCUCUCUCUCUCUCUCACUCACUCACUCACUGUCUAACACUAUCUGUCAAAUAAAAAAGAAAAAAAAAAAAGACUGAGAAAGGAAGAAUCAGAGAAUGGGGUCAGUAGUUAGAUUAGUAGUUCAGAAACUCAAAAUAGUUUCGUGUGGUAUAAAAAAUAAUUAAUAACCUUUGCCAGUGAGUAAGAGUACAAAACUAAUGACACAGAACAUGAAAAGGAAGUAAAAAAAAAGGGACUAUAAGUUAUAAUUACACUUCCAGGGACUUGCCUAAGCCAUCAGAAAGGGGUUCUAUGAUGGACAGCAGAGUACAUGAGGAGAUCAUGUGUCUGAUGGGAGGAACCUGGAGACAGAGAAAAUACGGAGAAACUGAGGCAAUAGUAAGGGUAACCGAAAGAGGAGAGGAGUAAAGCAGAAACAUUUCUCAGCAAAAGGCUCACUCUGAAUUUGGAUAAAAGUUUCCUCCUCCUCUGGAGUCAAUUUUUGCAGAGAUAUGAAAUAGGCUAUGGGUAUCAUUAGGGGAAAUUAAUUUUCACCUGCUGGAGAGAACAGAUUUUCUCUUAAAAAAAAAAGUUCUUGUGACAAUGUGGUCUAGAAUAUUAGAGUUGAAAAUAGGUAGCUUGGAACACUCUUGUGAAGAGUGGAAAGAGAUUACCACACCAAGAUGGCUCAGUGUUCACUGAGAAUAAAGAGCACAGAUUUGUAGUGGCACCAGAGGAUACACUGAACUUAGAAAUAUGGAGAUAAUAAAACUAGGUCACCAAGAGAAAAUAUUUUCAGGUGGUUCUGGUGGUCUCUGGUUUUAAAUACAGUUUUGACAUUUACUGUUGUGUAAUCAAAGAUGGGUUAAAGAAAAAAAAGUACAGGGUAUAAGUGUAUAUUAAAGUAGCUAUUAUGAAACUUGUGGAUUUUUUUUUUUUUUUUUUUUUUUGUAUUAAAGAGGCUUACUAGGGUUGUGUCAUGGUAUAGCAGGUAAAGCUGCUGUCAUUCCAUGUGGCGGUGGUUUGUGUCCUGGUUGCUUCACCUCUGAUCCAGCUUCCUGCUGAUGACCUGGGAAAAGUAGCAGAAGAUGCCCCAAGUAUUUGGACCCCUCCCAUCUACAUCUGCAUGGUAGACCUAGAAGGAACUCCUGGCUUUGGCCUGGCCCAGCCCCGGCUGUUGAAGCCAUCUAGGGAGUGAACCAGAGGAUAGAAGAUCUCUGUCUCUCUGUAAUUAUUUAAAAUAAAUAAUCCUUAAAAAAAAAAAAAAAAACUUCAAAACUUUCUGUUACUUCAAUAAACACAUUUAGUUAGAAGCAUUUUUAUGAAAAUGUUUGAAAUACAAUAAAUGAAUUCUUAGAUUUGUUAUCUGAUUUUAUAGAUCAAGGAGUUAGAUUUAUGUGCUGAAAGGAAAUGCAGAGACUAAUAAGUCAACAGCUACACAUGCCAUGUGAUACAAGAUAGCAUAGAUAACCAAUGGACAUUCCCACCUGCCUCUCUUUGUGUGUGUAUAUGUGUGUGUGUGUGAUUUAUUUUAUCUCAAAAGAGAAUCCAGAACCCAAAUCAUUACAAAUAUCAUUAGAUCUCCUUUUUUGAAAUCUGUUAAAAUCAAAUAGUUUUCCUUUUGUAUCUCCUUUUGUUAACUUUAAAGAGUUCAACAUUCUGUAAUUAUGUAUAAAUAUGCAUGUGAAUUUAUCAGAAAAGCUCCAUUUUGCAGUUGUCUUUCAGUCCAUCAGAAUGUUCUACAAAACCUAGAUGAAAUUUAAUAUUGUGAACUAAAGCUAUGUUACAGUAUAUCAGUGUUUUCCUAUAUGGUUAUGGCCAGAAGAGAAUUUGUUGACAUUAAUUUAUUUUAAUGGAAACGGUAGGCUUUCUGAGUUGUUAAAUUGGCACAGGUACACUUUAGAAUGUUGCGUAAGGCUUAUUUCAGUUCCAGAAGGGGCCAUGGUUUGAUUAGGGGAUAAGAUAGCUCAGUAUUUGCAAGAAUAACCUGUAUCUCAUGGAAAUAGAUUAUAGCGUUACACUUCAUUUUGGACUAAUCUGUUUCUUAGAUUUUUGCCUUGAUGAUGAAUUUUCUUCUCAAGCAUAAAAAAUGAAAAUAUCAACAAAUACAUUACAGAAUUCUUAGAUAUUUAGAGUUAUUGGGCAUAUUGGGCAUAUAAAGACCAACCAAUGUAAAAAAUCUUAGCAACAUUGAAAAGAAUCAUUUCAUUAGCAUGUUAUUUUUGUGUGGCUAUGCCAAAAUAUUUGAAGCUGGAUAUUUCAUAAAGGAAGUUCGCUUAGUUCCAUUUCUGGAAGUCUGAGAGCUUGGAUUCAGUAUCUGCUCACCUUCUGGUAAGGGCCUCAUGGUGAAUUGUGUUAUGUGGUAGGAAUGUGUGUGUAUGAGAGGGAAAGAGGGGGAGAUAGCUAAAGAGCUGCACAAAACUAGAGAGGAAGCAAGUUGACCCUCAUGACAACCUGGCUCACUCCUGUGAGAUAAAACAUUAAUGCUUUCUGAGAUGGUGUCUCCAUGACAAAAUCAUUUCACUUCUUAAAGUUCUACCACCUCUCCUAUCAAUACUGUUAAAUUGGGGAUCAAGCUUCUGGCACAUUAACUAUCGGGGCACAAGUCAUAUCUAAUCCAAAGCACAUGAAAAUGCAGUUUUUAUAUCUGAAACAAUUGAAUCAGGUACUUAAUGUUGUAUGUACAUCAUUUGUUAACUGUAGAGCAUUUUAGUGAUCAGUUGAACUUUGACAACAAAGGGUAACUCAAUGAUGGGGAAAGUAGUUAAGAAAGAUCAAAUAGAUAAUUGUUGGAUUAAUCCAGGUUUAUUAUCAUAUCUAUACAUUUAUGCUGCCAGUGAGCUAGCAUAACCUUAUGACUUCCUUUCUCCUGAUGAAGCAUGACUGAUUCAGCUUGUCAUAUGUGUGACCCCCAAGCUUGAAAAGCAUUGUGGUACACACUUGGCUUUUGGGGAGAGGAGCUCUAUGGAUUUACCUGUUUUCCCAUCUAUGCUGUGCUUGGUGCAGUGCUGCACUUGGAAUGGCUCACAUUGAUCUCUUGAUUCUGUGGUAAUUAAGAUGUAUUUUGCAGCACAGCCCAUGGAUUCCAAGGCUCAUAGGAUUAGUCAAUAGUUUUCUGCAACCCUGCCAUUAGCAGGGCAAACUGUCUUAAAGAAAUAGUAUGUUUUCCUUAGAGCAUGUGCAUUUUCUUGUAUUUCAGGAGAGUUGAUGUUCUGCCCUGCAGUCAGAGAUGGAGGUAGGCAGCUGUGAGAAGGUAGACACAUAAAUGGACUGGAGUUCUAAUUCCAGCCCAGAGCAUUGCACCCAAGAAAAUCUGGGCAGAAUUAGUCUGUCUGAACCCAAGUGCUCAUCUAUAAGGAGAGACAAUUCUUGCUACUAUCAUCAUAGAAUUGUUGUAAGUGUCAGAUUCAUUAGUGUGAAAUAAAUUGUGUUGAAAUCUAUGAAGCAUAAUAUAUGAGCUUUGGAAUUGGAAUGAAUCAGUAAAAAAAUUAGAGUGUUAAUUUAAAAUAUACAUAGGAAGAGAAUGAGGCAUAAAUUCAGAGGUGAAAGGAAGAAGUGAGAAAUGAGCUGUGGAGUUGAAAGUUUGGAAGGGAGACAGUGCAGGGGAGACAGAAAAGCUAUACUUUAUAGGAAAAUAAAAGGGUUGCAAGUAGGGGAACAGGAAUGAAGAGGCAUAACAGCAAAAGCAUGAGAUAAAAAAGGGUAUGGGCUUAUGGCAUAUCCAGUGCUUUUAGACUAUUGUGGGCCUGGUGCUGUAGUUAUUGGUAUGCAAAGAACUGCUAAUGUCUGUCCUUUAUCAUUCAGAUUUUCAUGUUAAUGCCAUGGAAAAAUUAACAAACCCUUUGUCUUCCAAAUACUCUUGCUUACUGACUACAGUAGACCUGAUAUCGGAAAUGACCCCCUAAAUUCUAUACAAAAAUGUGGCCCUUGAAGUUCCCCAAAAAUGCCAUCUGGGUUGCCACAUAUGCUACCAGAAUUUGGGGUGCCAUACGAUAUCACCAUAUGCUUAUUAAUAAAUCCCCAAUAUUAAUAAGCCCAAGAGGGUUCUUGCCUAAUAUUUAAAGAAGAAUUCUAAAUACCAGCACAGAUAAACGAGGCAGCAUGGUACAUUUUAAGCCUUUAUUUAGUGAGAAAGAUGCAUAGAAGAGUGGGAGCUUUAUCUAAGAGAGAGAGAGGUAAAUCUGGGUUCAUACCCAGCACCAGGAACCAGCCCCGUGGUGGAGCAUCUAGGCCAGGAAGCCUAAAGCGGGUAGUCUGAAGGCCACGCGCCCUGGAGGCUCAGGGCUACAGCAAGGCCCCUCCUGGCAAGAGGCCAGGGAAGAAGAGAAGGGCAGGACACACAGUGUCCCAGGCUUUUAACCCACUUCCAAAGGGGAGUGGUUAAUUAACCUGAUUGGCUUGUGGGCACCCAGGUGUGGCCAGGUAGGGGCAGGAGGUCACACAGGGGCGUGGUGAAGGUAUCAGGUAGCACAUGAGGUCACACAGGGGCAUGGUGAAGGUGUGGUCUUCCAGCUCACAAAGCUAAUGGAUUUUAACCUGUAUGCCUGCCUACUUCAGACCCAAAGCUGUUAUCUUGUGGUCUGACUUACUAGUCUUAUGUCCUUAACUCUUACAGCAGCACACACUCAGCCAACCAAGUGAUCACCACAAUCAUCCAAAGGAGCUGGCAAAAGGUGCUUGCAGAUGUCACAUGGGUCUAGCCGUGUGUAUCUCUCCCUGGAAGAAGAAAUCUUGAAGUCACCAACAGCUAAACUGUUGCAUUUAGAUGAAAGAAAGAAGGUAAUGGAGUUGGUAUAAUUUGUCGAGGAAAUACUUGAUUAGUUAAGACUAGCUUACAUAAAAUUCUUAAGUAUUGUAUUUAUUUUCAACAAUAGGUAGGUAUGAGGCAAAGAAAAGUGAUGGACUUACUACGCUGCCUGCAUUUGAAAGAAUUUAUUCCAGUGAGUUGAGGGAAUUGCACACAUAACUAGUUGUGAGACUGAGACCUAGAUGUAUAGGAGUAUGGAUUUUCUGUGUUAUUUGACUAAUAUAUUUCAGUCCCUACUAUCAAAACUAAAACACUUAUCAGUGACACUAGAAAGAAACUGGAUUUCAGUUUCAGAUAACCAUUGGAUAAAUUUGUCUGUUUUCCUAAGAUCACAAAAAUGAUUAUUAUAUCAUAGGGUUUAUUUUUAUUAUUGAUUUGGGAAGUAUAAUCUUUUCCUUUAUGUGUCUUUAACCCUUAAAUUAUUGGAUUAAAUUGAUCAGGUGACUUUAUGAAGACUAAUUUCUUUGACUAGAAUUGUCCUCUGAUGGUGGAUACUGAGGAAACAUGUGUUUAUGAUGUACUUAGGUGUAUAACACUUCUAUCAGGAUUAUCACAUUUGGUGAUAUAACCUGAAUUAACUCAUCUGAAUCACAAAUAAAAAUCCUGAAUGUCUGUUAGCAAAAUGAAUAGUGAAUGAUUAAUCCCUCUGUCAGGAUUUGGUUAUCCAUUCCCUCAAAUUACCUUAAAUGUCAUUAAAUUUUUGUUGCCUAGCUCCAUACAAAAUGAAAUUCAGAGAUGAGGUUUAAAUAGAGAAAACUAAAUGAUAUGCGUAUUUCUUCUGAAAUAAAACAGAUACUUAGAAUUCCAGGAUUUUAUGGUUCAAGUUUUUAAAUUUGUGAACAACCCAAAUACCUAUUGUAAGAGGUAAUAUAAGAUAUUGCCAAAUAUAGGAGUUGAGUUAGUUAUAUGAAAGCCAAUCAGUGGCUUAUUAUGCAACAAUCACAAUUCAGCAUGAAUUCAGGGUAUACAUUUAUUUCCAUAGACUCAAACGCUCACCUAGGGUCAGAAAGGGACUCUUAACAUUUUACGGGGAAAAUAUUAUUAAGAACUCAGGAGUUAGAGAACAUUUAAAAGGUAACUCAUGAGAAUGUCAAAGAUGAAUUUCUUUUUUUAAUCAAAGGUGAAUUUCUUCUUUUUAAAGAUUUAUUUAUUUAAUUAUUUGAAAGUCAGAAGUGGAGAAAGAGAAAGAGAGGUUCUUCCAUCUGCUGGUUUACUCCCCACAUGGCCACAACGGCUGCAUCUGGGCCAAUCUGAAGCCAGGAACCGGGACCUUCUUGUGGGUCUCCUACGUGGGUGCAGGGGCCCAAGAAGUUGGGCCAUCUUCUGCUGCUUCCCCAGGCAAAUUAGUAGAAAGUGGAAUCAGAAGUGGAGCAACUGGGAUUCAAACUGGUGCCUAUAUGGGAUGAUGGCACCACAAACGGUGGCUUAACCAAUAGCGACAUAGCGCUGUCCCUCAAAAAUGACUUUAUUUAAAGCACAUUAACUUCAUCAUCUCCUCUGAACCUCUCAGUUCCUCUCUCCCCAUUUCCAGGGAUAUCUGCCUAGGACUUCAGUCAAGGAAAUAUAUAGAUAUUAAGCUUCGUUAAUAAAUAGUAAGGCUUUCACUUAAAUCUAUAUCCAACUUCCAAAUGUGUAACUCCUGCUGCUGCACUGGACCAUGCCUGUAAGUACAUGGCAUGCUUAGGAGUGUAGGUCUCUCCAAAGCUCGAAUACCACCGUGCUGCUUAGCCCUCUGUGUUCAAGCCCAAGAUUCUUAAAGAGAAUUUAGCUUCACCAGAUUUCAGAUCCUUUCUCUCCCAGAGAACAUUGUGCUUCUAUGGUGCUGGCCUACUUUUAUUCCAAGAUUGGAGCUGCAUAAAACUAAACUUUGGCUCUUGGGAAGUUUAAGGUUGGCCUUGGGAAGUUUAAGGUUGGAAUAUUCUGAAUGGUGCUUUUGUGGAAGCAGUACUCUGGGUCUCUUAAAAGCACACUUCACAGAGAGGAGUUGCAUCUCUCUCAAAUCCCACAGGCAUCUCUCCAUACUUAGAGAGUAUAGAGAGAAAGAAGUCGCUAAUGGAGUUUAAAAGGUUACCUUCAUUAACUAAAAAUAAAUGUAAAAUGAAUGGCCUCCCUUCUAAAAGGGAGCAUUCUGCAUGGUCAUUGUUAAAUGAAAUGAAAGAAAGAUGAGUUUUGAUGAUGUUAUCCCAGUGUGUGGGGCUCACUGCUGUUCAUAACCGUCUGCCACCACACAGUCCUCCCUGGAACCCGAUUGGACUCCAGGGCCCUCGUAAUGUUCGAAGGUGUGUGCAGAUCAAUUUCCUGCAUCAUUUCUGCCAUGGUAAAUCAUUUAUUGGGAUGAAUGUUUUACAAAGGCAGGCAAGAGCAAAACUCAUGAAAAAUAAAUAUGGUAAAAUACACUCGUCUGUGCUGCAUCAGUCUUCAAGGCUUUGUCGUGUUUAAAUUCUCUGUGGCAUUGAAGCAGUUAGAACAUUUCCCCUCAUUUGGUUGCACUGUGGCCAGUUGAACUCAAUUAACGCGUGGUGCCACUGAGGCCAAAAGGGUACAUUUUAUUUCCUCACAUAUCAUUUGACUCACUCUAUUCCAUGACCACAGAUUCCUUUGUCUGAUCCCAUGAGCAGCAGGGGCAGUUGUCAAAAUAGGGAGUGGGGCCCGGCAAAGAGGGAAGGAUUCAGUUCUACUCAUCCUUACUACAGACAAAAGCAAGCCAGCCAGCAAACAAAAGCAAGGAAGUGCCACACCUGGUGUGCCACUGAGCCUGAGUUCUAAGAACUGACAGAAUAGUAUGCGUAUUAUGCACACUCAAAAGUUAUUUCAAAGUAAAUUAUUUUAACCAGUGGGCAAAGUUAAAAGAAUUGGUUUCCUCAUGAUAAAACUAUUUUGUGACUGAAUAUUUGAGUUAAAUCCAUCCCUCAGCUGAAAAGGUGUCAUAAUAAGCAUUAAAACAAAGCAAAUAAAACCCUGACAUGAAUAGCAACAGUGAGGACUUUGGUCCCCAAACUCUAAUGCUUCCUGUGUUAGAUAAAAUGAUGGAUAAAGUGCUAAGCUACGUGUCCUGAUUUCAUAUCCGACACAUUUCACAAUGGGAUCUAGUUCCGAACUCAUGACUACCUGUAAAAGUUUUUUACUUUUUUAAAUUAUUUUUUACAUUUUACUGAUAAACAGAGACUAAAAAACCUCCCGAAUGCCAUGGAAUUAGUGAGGUCGUACCAGGCUUCAAGUCAGCUCUGUCUGAAAUUUGAACGAUGCUGUGUGUGGCUGUGUCUGAACAGGUUCCAGGUAGAGCACUGGAAAUGUGUCCCAGCAAGGUAAGCUCGUGUCAGUCAUGAAGGGAGACAAAGAGGCAGCAGCAUCUUCAAUUGGAGUAAUAUAGAAUGGAGCAGAAUACGGAUCCUCAAACGGGAAGUCAAAGAUGGUAAAUGACAGGAGAAGUCCUCUAAAUGUCUCUCCUACGAGGACACCUUUGCUUGGUUGCGCCAUCUUGACUGGGUUUUGAUUAAAUCUCUCCAGAACCUUCCUUUGGGAAUUCUUCAGAUUCUCUGGUGCUGUCCUUUGUCAAGAGGAGGAAUUGAGAAUAUUUCUGAUUGGCAUUUCAUUCCCAGAAGCAUUCCGUAGAUUUGAAUUAAUAACUCUUGUACACCCCACUCCCUCACUCUGCCCAGUCCAUCUGCUACCCUGCCAUAUAUCAAUCUAAGAAGGACUUUACAUUUAAAAAAUCAGUUCCCAGUGCAAGGAUAUCAGUGAUUCAUCCUGAUUUUAAACACUUCCUGAAAUAUGUCCAAUCACAUUUCUAGCUGUCUCCCCAGCAUGUACACUCUGCUGUGGCCAUAUUUUCGUCACUUACAUUGGGUACAUUACUCUCUUCACCUUUGCUUAAGUGUCCUGUUAUGUCCUGUAAUUUUUUUUUUCCAUCUCUGAUGCGCACAUCUGAAUCAAGUCAUUGAAAAAUUGUUUUAAUAUUUAGAAAACCUAGUAUAAAGGAUUAUUAAAAAUGGUCCCUAUGGGCCAGCAUUGUGAUGUAGUGGGUAAAGCUGCCAUCUGCAACACUGGCAUCCCAUAUGGGCACUAGUUUCUCUCCUGGCUGCUCCAUUUCUAAUCCAGCUCCCUGCUAGUGGCCUGGGAAAAGCAGUGGAGGGUAGCCUGAGUGCUUGGGCUCAUGAGAGACAUGAGAGACCUGGAGGAGGCUUUUGGCUCCUGGUUUCAGCCUGGCAGAGCCCUGGCCAUUGAAGAUAUCAGGGGAGUGAAUCAGAAGCUGGAAGAUACCUCUGUCUUUCCCUCUCACUCUAUAACUCUAUCAAAUAAAUAAAUUUUGAAAAAUAAAUAAAAAUGUUCCCUAUAGUCUAAAAAGAACCAUUGCAAGGCUUAUUACCAGCUUUUUCUACAUUUUUAAUGAAGCAUAAAUGUGUAUAUAUAUAUAUGUAAUAUAUAAAUAUACCUUCAAAAUAUGGGUCACAUUAUACAACAUUUUUACUUUUUACAGCAUGGCAGUAUUUUUUUACAUCAUUAAUUAUUUUUAAAAAUUUGGUCUGGCAUUGUGGUGUAGCAGGUAAAGCCAAUACCUAUGACUCGGGCAUCCCAUGUGGACGCCAGUUUGUGUCCAGGCUGCUUCACUUCCUAUCCAGCUCCCUUCUAAAGGCUGGGAAAAGCAGCAGAGGAUGGUCCAAGAAUUGGAAGUGCCUGGCUUUGGCCUGGCCUUGCCCUGGCUUAGCCAUGGGUAUUGGGGCCACCUGGGGAUUGAACGUACAGAUAGAAAAUCUCUCUCUCUCUCUCUCUCUCUCUCUCUCUCUCUCUCUCUCUGUGUGUGUGUGUGUGUAUGUCUGUCUCUACUUCACUCUCUGUAAUAUUGACUUUCAAUAAAAUAAAUCUUAAUUAAAUUGUACAUCAACAGUCAGGACAAAGGCUGAUCAAGUCACUGUUUCUCAUAGUGUCCCUUUCACUUCAACAGGUUUCCUUUUUUGUGGUUGGUUAGUUGUCACCAAUCAGGGAGAACAUAUGAUGUUUUUAUCUAAAAAUAUGAAUAUUUUCAAAUCUCAUUAUUAUUAAAAAACUACCCAGAAAAUUACCUCAAUUUAUAUUCACACCAACAAAAUAAGACACUGUCUAAUUCACCCUAAAGUUAAGUAUUAUCUUUAUAUUGCUUCCCAAUUUUAUAAUCUUUUAUCCCAUUAUGAUUAAUUUCUUCAUUUGUUAUUCAGUAGAGUUCAACCUUUAAAACUUAAUGGUUAUUUUUUUACAGUGAUGUAACUCUGUGGCCUCUGCCUAUUUUCUUGCUCUUCCAUAAAAGAGUAACAAGAAAAUGAAAAUUAUCAAAUUUUUGUUUUACCCCAGUUUUCUAAAUUCAUAUUGUUGAAAUUAGGCAAUAAUUGGUAAACUUAUUUAAAACCAUAUACAAUUGUAAUCAGUUACUGCUGUGGCUGCUUUUUUUUUUUCUUUUUUAAGAAAGAAUGUGUGUCAUACAAGGGUAUGAUUGCUCAAUUUUCUAUUUGUCAAAUAGCUUAAAUCUCUAGACUGUUGACUACAAAAUGAAGGAGGAAUGGGCUGGUUUUUUUCUUUUGUUUAAUUAGAAAGACUGGUUUGAUGUAAAACAUGGGUAGGCUUUCCAUCUAUUCUAGAUCCUGGCCAAAAAAAUUUUUUUUUUCAAAUUUUAGUUGUCACUAAGAAUGUGAGUUGACUAUUUUGAUUGGAAGCCUAAGCAAGUGCCAGCAUUGAAGUCCUUUCCAAGAAAACUAGAAGUGGAAUCAUUUGUCCUUCAUUGUAAUGUUUGAGUACAACCAGUUUAACAUUUGCUAUUUCUUUUGUUUAAAAGAUUUAUUUGAAAGGCGGAGUUUUAUACACACACACAAACACACACACACACAGUCGUUUUAUUCACUGAUUGACUCCUCAAAAGGCUAUAAUGGUCAGAGUGGGGCCAGACCAAAGCUAGGUGCCUAGAACUUGUUUCCCAAGUGGGUGCAGGAGCCCAAGAACUUGAGCCAUCUUUUGCUGCUUUCCUAGGGGCACUAGCGGAGAACAGGUUUGGAAAUGGAGCAGCCAGGACUUGACUUGGUGCUCAUAUGAGAUGCUGGUAUCAGGCAGUGGCUCAAUUCUCUGUACCACAAUGUUGACCCCAAGUAUUUGCUAUUUCUCUGUUUUAUUUUUUUCUUUUACACUUUUUUUUUCUUUUGCAAGAAAUGCAAUUUCAAUUUCUGUUAGGUCUUGUAACUUGAAAGAUUUCUGGAUAUUACUAAAUGGCAUAUUUUUUGGCAAGGAACAUGGAGUCUACCUAUGCAUUAGCAAAACCAGCUUACAACAGUUAGAAUAGGAAAGGAUUGAAAUGUAACCUUUUUGAGCCCUAGUUUUCUAAACUGUAAAUAUUCACAGGUCUUGAUAGGAUGAAUUCAUGUAUAUGAAGCUUAGAACUUUGAUUUCUUCCUUAUCUUCUUUUAUAAUCCAACCUUAUCUAUGAAAUUCUGAUUCAAGUACUUAUCUGAUUUUGUGAAUGGGAAACUUUUUGUUACAAUUUCUCGUUCAUAAAUGCAUGUCUUUUUUGAAUGAUAGGUCCAAAAUUGUGAGCUAGAUUGUUAUCAUAAUUUGAUAGAACAUGUGUUAAGUAAUUUCUUGGGCUGCCAAUAAAAACAUGCAUUUUUAUCUUUCAGGUAGAAUCCAAGUUAAUUUUGGUAAGUAAAAAAUCACAGAAAAUCAGCAAAGUUGUUGAAUAAAGCCAGUGAUUGAGACAGGCACCUACUUAUACAUAACAUUUCCUUCAAACAAUCUAUACCUACUUCACCAUUAUGCAUAAGUUUACCUUAGAUGGGAGAUCUUUAAUAAGUCUCGGAUCUGGCUCAGUGUUCCCCAGACUUAUAGAGCCAACUUGGAAAAAAUAAUACCCAGGCACCCAGCCAUUGCACAUCUCCUCAGGCAGCUGUUAAGAAUGAUGUUGCGAGACACAUUGCUAGAAAUGAAGGCUUUACAGCUGUUUGAGAAAAUGUCCUCCAAUUUGUAAGCAGUGCUAUUCCCCCUGCACUAUACACUGAUCCAAGGUGAAAGGGGAAUCCAUGUUAUCCCUAGUUAACUUCAAGAUUUCUCUUUCCUCUAAAAUCCAUUUGGUAACUAUCAUUUCCUUAGUUCAAUAAGAAUAACAUUGUGUGCUGUGUUUUGAGUUUUAAUUAAAACAAAAAAAGCCCAUAUUUUAUUUCUUUACACAAACUCGCUUGUAUAGAGCCAAAGCAUGAAAUCUAUGUGACAUUUUUUCUUUAUCCCUUGUAUUCACAUCUCUUUUGUCUCUUAUCUUUGGAGUCCUAGCUUGCUGUGCAGAUGUAUAAAAUUAGUAGGCCAGUACCUGAAGCAUCAAAUUAAAACAAAAAUACUUGCUGAUCAGAUAAUAAUUAACCUGUUUCUGUAUCACUUUCCUGUUGGAUAUAAAGUUCACUUGCAAAGUGGUUUUCUAUUUUAUGCUACUGUUUUUGUAGGACCAUAAUUAGAAACUCUGAAGAGAUAACUUCUCAAUCACAUUAGGAUUUGCACAAAAUUUACUGAUGCCCAAGGCAUGUUCGCAGAGUUGGCUGAUUCCAAUUUUUACAGAGUGAGUUAUGUGGCUUUCCCAAGAUCUGCAGAACAAGCACAAAGUAAAGCAAUUAAAAAGACACCAUUGAAAGAGAAUUUGACUCCUGCGAUAUAGGAAGAAUUGAGGACAGUUAAGGAGAAGUGGUUCAAAUCUAUCAAAUGCACCUUUGUGUGUGCUUUCAGUUAAGUGCUAUUGAUGAGAACGCAUCUGAAAGAAGUGGGGAACACAAUGGAAGAUGAGAAUGUGGAAACACAAAGUAUGCUCAAUACUAUUAGGAAUAUUGUUAAACCACUGGUGCCAUAUGCUGAAGUCACCGUCAUAGAUCUCUUCUAAUUAUAGGGAGAACCUUUGUAUUCUAGGGUCAGAGUCUUCAUAUAGUUGCAUCUAUAUCAUAUGUCUUUGCUGUGAAACAAGGACAGGUAAAAGGGAAGUUCGAUAAAGGUGGUGUCCUAGCUCCAAACAAGACUCACAUAAUGGGAGAUUAUCUAAAUGAAAAGCGGAUUUUCAGAUAUUGUGUCUGCAUUGUAUCUUUUGCACUCAUUGUGAUCUCUCAUUCCAAAUGCAACUACAAUCAUUUUGACCACCAUUCUUCAACAUCUGUCUAGUAGUUUUUUUCUUCCUCCAGCUUCUGUCUGUUAUGAGUCAUUACUAUAUUAGAUUAGUUUUCAUCUGUGUCUCUGAUCAUCGCACCUCCAGAUAGAAAAUACUCAAUCUUUCCCCUAAUUUUCUAUUUAUUUCAGAAUAAAUUUCUAUUUAUUUCAGAAUAAAAUCCAAAUUCCAUAAUCGGGAGUCUAAAGCACUUCAUGAUUAAUUCACAGCCAGUUUUUUUUUUUAAGUUUUUAUUUUCUGAUUUUUUUAAAGUACCCUCCACAACAAGACUGAAUUAUCAUUUAAGGUGGAUUUUUAUUUUUGCAUAAUGCUACUCAGUUACCAUUUCUAAAAGUGUCCCCAUGUUUCUGUCUACUCUUCGAGUAAACCUCCUAGAAUUCUACUCCAGGAGGAAAUCCAUUUUCCAUACUGGAUGCACAACAUCAUUGAGAAUUUUGUAUGUAUAUGGGGGUAUAUAUGACACACAUAACAUAUACAUACAUGCAUUACAUAACAGUAGCAAGGAUAUAUUCUGACAAAUGUGUCAUUAGGCAAUUUAGUUGUACAAAUAUUAUAAAGUAUAUACAAACUAAGAUGGCUGCAACAUCACUAGGUAUGACAAUAUUAUGGUACUACUAUCAUAUAUGCAGUUUAUGAUUGAUAGAAACAUUUUUAUGUGGCCAAUUUGUAUGUAUACAUAGAGACUUCUUUGUUAAUUUCAUUUUAAUUUUUGGAUUACCCAGUCUUUAGGCUUGAGCAUUUUGCAUCCUACAGCUCUGUAGAAAACUAUAGCCCUUUCUCAGUUGGCCCAAGAUAUUCAUGAUUUUCCAGGGGUUAAAAUUUCUUGAUCACUUCUGCCUCUGAAUCUCUUGAAUGUUGUCUUUUUAUCAUUUAAUUCAAGUGAAACAUAUCCUUGUGUUGUUUCUCACACAAAUAAAAAUCAGUUAAACAAAUGAACGACAAAAACCUACUGAAGAUGUGGUUACAAGGAAGGAUCUGGUUUUCCCAACACACAAACUGGAUUUUUGAUUGCAUAUUUGACAGUCCUAUGCUUAAAUAGUCUUUUGUUUGUUCCACAGCGAAAAGGUUCCAAAUUUCCCCCAUAUGUAGCAACUAUUUUUAUACUACCUUCUGAGAAGGCCACUUCCUUUCAUUAUUUAACUUUUGAUUACAGUUCAAAUUUUUUUCUUGGUUACCAGGUUUCUAAGCCAUCUAUGAUUUGGGCUUCAUCCUUUGUAUAGAGUGGCCUAUCCUACCAUGUAUACUAAAAUCAUUCACUUCACAAAGGGCACUCUUAAAUGUUAGCUGUUAAAUUUUUUUACCUGAUUAUGAGUUUAUAAUACUCAUAUUUCACUAGGCAAAAAAAUUUUCAGCACUUAGAAUCAUAUAUAUGUGUUCUGACAUAUGGGGCAUUGAGUAAAUUAGGAUGAAUGUGUGAAUGCUUCUUAGUGUUUUUCUAUCAGGUGAAGUUUUUUUUUGUUUUGUUUUGUUUUGUUUCUAUUUUUGACAGGUAGAGUUGUAGGCAGUGAGAGAGAGACAGAGAGAAAUGUCUUCCUUCCGUUGGUUCACUCCCCAAAUGGCUGCUAUGGCCGGCACUGCACCAAUCCGAAGCCAGGAGCCAGGUACCUCCUCCUGGUCUCCCAGGCGGGUGCAGGGCCCCAGGCACUUGGACCAUCCUCCACUGCCCUCCCGGGGCACAGCAGAGAGCUGGCCUGGAAGAGGAGCAAACAGGACUAGAACUGGGUGCCCAUAUGGGAUGCCGGCGCUGCAGGCAGAGAAUUAACCAAGUGAGCCAUGGGAACAAAGUGUUUAUUUUUGUAUUUCUCCAAGUAGUUUAUUCAAAACUCAGCAGAAAUGCAUAAGAAUGGGUCUAAAUAUUAUUUAUAGUAAGUAAAUCAUGUAUCUAGUUGAAUAAAUAUUUAUUUAAAAAGAGUGAGCAGAGACCAUGAGUUCUGGUGGGAGAGACAUCAGGUUGGGUUGAGAUGGCAGUCAAGGACAUUUCUGUUUGCACCAGUGUGUUGGUUGAAGUUUGUGUUGGUUUCUGUUUGCUGUUACUUCUGUAUUUAAAUUAAAGACAAUAAAGUCUUCAGGACUCAGGAAACCUAGGUAUAUUGCUCACUGAUACACAAUGGCAUUCAUAUAGAAGCUGCUUCCACCAUUCUCAUUGGUUUCCCAGGAUGUGUCAGGUCUCCCCUGUGGGACAAUACUACCUCCUCCUGGCAGACACUGCCUUGUGUUCCAUAUAUAGCUCCACAGUACUUAGGUGUUCAAUCAAUUUUUGUUAAAGUGAAUUGAUUAGAAUUGGGAAGUCCUAUGAGUUUCUGGGUAUUGACUCUCAUCUUUGUUCCACUUUAGAAAUGGCAAAAUCUUUUAUGUUCUCCAGAGACGAAAGCAUAUACCCAGUGCUUCUAAGUAAAGACUUUUUUUUUCUACAUUGAAUAUUGAAAAAUUGAAGAAAACAAAUGAAAAUGAAUGAAAUCUAUAAAGAUGAAAUAAUGGAAUAUCCUUUUUUAGAUGAAUCAACAAAACCAAUACUCUAAAGACAGGGUAUUUAAUCAAAUAAAUAAAUCAAAUGCUAAGUUAAAUUAAAGGCCAUCAAAGAGAAAUAGUUUUUCAGAUCUUUAACAAGGAUGAAAAAUUGAACCAUAUGUCAGAAAUAAGAAUGUUUUGUUUUUGUAUAACAUAGCAAUGUUUCUCAAAAUGUGGCUUGCAUGAAAAAUAGUCCAGGGAGGGAGAGCUCUUACUCCUCGAAAGAGAGAGGCUGUUUAGCUAGAGCAGCGCCUGUGAUAGGCAGAUUCUCGAAUGGGAAAACAAGUGUUUUGUUUUGAAAUCUGCUAGUAAGAUCCAUGCAAAUAGAAGACGAAGUAGUUUAUAAAAUAAAAAUUCACUUUAGAUACUCAAAUAGGUAAUAGAGAUGCUUUAGAAAUGUUUUAAUCCCCACUCUCCAAAUUAAUAUGCUCGAGUGCCAUUAUAAUGCCUGAAACAGGGAAUAAAGCAUUUUGGAUCUGUUUUCAACCAGCUGAAUUUGGAUUUCAGACACCACUACUCAAUCCCUGAGUAACAUAAGCAAGUCACCCACAAUAGUCUCAAAUUCAGUGCCUUAAUUUAUGAAAUAAGGGGAGCAAUACUUUCUUCAAAGCAUUAGUAGAUUUUUUUCUAUACAGGCCAGAAAGUAAAUAUUUUGAGUUUCAUGGGCUAGAUAGUUUGUUACACCUCAACCCUGCCAUGGUAGUAUAAAAGUAGUCAUGGACAGUGUAUGAAUGAACCAUGGCUGUAUUCUGAUCAAGCUUCAUUAGCAAGAAUAGACGAUGACCUAAGUUUGCCCUGUGGACCAGUCAGCUAACCCAUGUCAGGCACUGACUUGAGUGGUGGCAAUGGUCACAAAUAAACCAGAUACAGUAGAUAACCCGCAUAAUAUCUGCCAUAUAGAGAAUCUUGAAUAAAUGCAUUGACCCAGUGCAUCAGUUGAGAAAUCAAAGAGUAGAUUUGACCUGAUGAGUAUAAUUACUAUCUCCAAACUUAGUAUUUUUCUAUUUCACACACCACUUUUUGUUUUUAUGAGAUCACUUCAUAGUCCCCACUGAAGUCCCAAAUUUAAAAAGGCAUUACCAUUGUGCAGUUAGAAGUUUGUUAAACUCUUUUCUUAAAACAUUUCUGAAACAAUUGGCUUAGGAUACUCAGGAAAGCUCAAUGCUGGGACUUAGACAAAAUUCUCUAUAACAUUCUUCACUUAGCAGUGCUCCAUGGAUGAGAACUAGAACAUAGGAAUGAAGUUUUAUAAUAAAAUAAUUUUGAGAAAAGAUGUUUUUAUUACAUAAGUCCCCACAGUCUUUGAUGUUAAAAAGGGGUUGAGGGGGCCUGCAUGUGGCAUAGAGGGUAAACCCACAGCCUGCAAUGCCAGUAUCUCAUUUGGGCACCAGUUCCAUGACCCGGCUGCUCUACUUCCAGUCCAGUUCCCUGCUAAUGGCCUGGGGAAAGGAGUAGAAGAUGCCCCAAGUGUUUGGGCUCCUUCCACCAUCGUCUGAGACGUGGAUAAUGCUCUUAGCUUCAGCCUGGCCCGGUGCUGGCCAUUGUGAUCUGGUGGGUGCAAGAGGACUACAUUCUGCAAUUUCCCAAGUAUUGUUUAGGACAUUUUAAAAUUAAAUUUCACACAUCUGCAACAAUUUGGCGAAUGCAGUCUUUGGAAAAAAAACUGUUUGGGUAAACCCUAUUCUGUAAUAUAAAUUGAAUUUUGGUAAUUUUGGUAAAUAUGAAAUAAAUGGUGGGAAUUCACACCUCUGAAAAGGAACUUGGUAAACCUAGGCAAGCAAGGUGCUAGCAAUUUACUGUUAAAAUUCUUUAACUUUUUCAUUCAACCAUUUCUUCUUUCACUUAUUCAAUGGCAUUUCAUUAUUGUUUUCUUUUCAAGGUAGAACAGUAUUCUUUCAGAAAGUAAGAGGCAGCUUUAUGAAUAGAAAGUUUAGAGAUUCUAAAAUAAAUGGCUAAAAUCUGAGCCUCUUUGUUUCACAUCUAUAAAAAUCUUACUGGGUUUCAUGGGAAGAUAAACUUUUAUUUCCAAAGGAACUUGAAAGUUAUAUGAAGAUAAAAGAGGCGCUAUAGUGAGUGAAGUAGAGUAACAUUUGGCAAUAACCUGCUGGAGAUCUCAUCUGAAUUAGAAAGAACUCUGAUAACAGAUCUCUUAUAGUUUAGAUCCACAGAAGCCUGAAAUAGGGUUGAGUCAUCCUAGUUGAAACCAAUAUUCUUGAAUUAGAGUCAUUUGAAAGGUUUGAUCAUAAAUUUUAUUUAAGCAGAAAUAAGGGAGAUGAAUGAUUUUCAGGUAGUCCUCUGAGUGUCUAACAGCACACUUCUCCUUUGGACUUGAAGAAACACUGGAAAACACAAACUAGUUCAACUAGGAAACUUCCCUAAAUUCAAUAUCACCGAUCACCAUUAUUUCUGUCACAAGGCUUUCCUGUGAUGUUGGUACCAGAGAGGACACAAAUAGUUUUAUGAGUAUCCUGAUAUAGAGAAACAAGUAUCUUCUAAUUCUUAAUGUCUUUCACCCUUCUCAUUCUCACCCCCUGCCACACACAUGCAUAGUGGUUAACUUUUCAGAACUGUUUUCAGUAUAAUAAUUUUAACUGCAUUUUUAUUCUUGUACAAAAUCAGCCCAAAACAAUACUAUUUAUAGGACAACUGAGACAAGAAGCUGGAUCUAUACUCUGAUAAACUGUGGAAUUUAAUGAUGCCUUUAUAUGUUACGGAUGUGUAGUAAUCUGUGUUUCUACAGUGUUUGAUGUUAAAUGUACUUAGAACAAUCAAUUAAGGUUUACUUUUCAAUAUAAAGUAGAAUUGGUGACUAAGACCACCCAACCCAAAAUUGAGAGUGUUGAACCAUUUUUAGAUUAAUAUAAAUUUUCCAGUAGCAAUAUAGAAGAGAAUUACACAUCCCAAAUACUUAGCUAUGUUAAUUCUAUGGUUAAAAUUCAGGCAGGGAGAAUAUAUGUAAUAGUGUGCAAAGCAAUUUCUGUAAGAUGGGUGAAACAUGGCCUUCUCUUAAAUUAAAAUAUUUUUUUUAUUUGACAGGUAGAGUUAGACACUGAGAUAGACAGAGAGAAAGUUCUUCCUUCCAUUGGUUCACUCCCCAAAUGGCCGCCGCAGCCAGUGCUGCACCGAUCCGAAGCCAGGAGCCAGGUGCUUCUUCCUGGUCUCCCAUGAGGGUGCAGGGGCCCAAGCACUUGGGCCAUCCUCCACUGCCUUCGUGGGCCACAGCAGAGAGCUGGCCUGGAAGAGGAGCAACCGGGAAUAGAAGCCUGCACUGAUAUAGGUUACCGGUGCCACAGGCGGAGGAUUAACCAAGUGAGCCAUUGCGCUGGCCUUUAAAUUAAAAUCUUAAAAAAUUCUAAAUCCCCCUAGAAAUGGAUUGGAACAAGGCUGGGUGGAGAGUGUGACUUGACCUUCAGAUUAAAAUUGUAGGUUUGUGAAGACUGAGGAGGACCUAUCUACCCAGCUCGGUAGGUAACUCAAGAUGAUGGAAAUAGAAUCAGAAGACAUGCUAUUCCUUAGAGAACAGCUGCCCAAAUCCACAAAGAGGAUAUUUUUGCUUUCUCCUUAUGUGACAGACAAGUAACACCAUUCCAGGAUCUAUCAUUAUUAAUAUCACAUAUGAAAUGAAAAUGGUCCAAUUCAGAGCACACAAUUCUCAUUAUUUUUUCAGUCUGUAACCCUUGAAAACUGGAUAUCAAUUGCAUUCAUUCCUUUUCUUCAUACAGCAUUGAAAAAUGGAGAGGAUAAAAUGCUGAGAAAUAUUUAGGAAAGAACCUGAAGUUAAUUGAUGGAAUUAAUGACAGAAAUACAAAAUGAAUUGUGAAAAAGAAAAGUAACUUAAUCUUAAUAAGCCCAGCAGAGCCAGUGUAAUUAAAUAGCAGCUGUGGUAUCUUUUAAUUAUUUUCCCUAAACAGCACUAUCAUUAUAUAUGACCAAGAAAUAACUUUUCUGUAUUUAUUUGGCGAAGUAGCAAAAAAACAAAUUGAAACUUACAUUAUCAAUUGCAAAAAUGGCAUUACUGUGGAUUGGAAGUAAUUUGAAAUUACACCUAAUAGAACAAAGCACACUCCAAAUUAAUGUAUAGUGCUACUAGGAAAUAAAUGAGUUCUUCACUCUUAAGUCUUUUGUUUUAAGGAGAACCUUUAGCAAUGGAAGCCAAAUAAUUGUCCUUAAAACCAUGGAAUGAAUCAAAGCAACCAUCAUUGGCAUUCAUGAUUAUCGGAGAAGAUUUUCUUCUCUUUGAAUCAUUCUUUCUUUAUGCAAUGCAGGCAGCAAAGCCCUGUUGUAUGACAUAGAGCCUUUUAGGUCAUUUCCUUGAUGAAACUUUCACAUCACUAUUCUCUAUUUUCUGAUUUCUUCUUUUCCAUUGCAUUUUCUCUCUCUCCUACUUCUUACAAUUGCUGUUUGUGUACCUGCUUCCAACCAUUGGUAAGACUGAAUAUGAUAUGUCUUGUAAACAAGGAACUGCUUUUAGAUAAGUCAUUGCAUGGGGACUUCUCCAAUGUUUACCUGUGAAUUAUGACCUGUUAGCUUGGCAAAAACUUUGCCUUUCCUGAGAAAUGUCUUUCUGAGAAAGAUAUUGAUUGAGGAUGGACCCCUGCCUGGCAGUAUUUGUACAAUUUAAAUUUACUUGAGGGUUUUCAAAUGUACUCUCCCUUUUAUGGUAAGAGAUGACUGAAAGAAAAGCUAAUUCAUUUUAAAUAAAGAGUUCUUAGUUGACAGUAGAAGCAUAGCUCACCAAAAGGGUAAUAACUUUUUCUGAGUUAGCAGUUAUUAGAUCAAAUUGGAACAGGCACCUACAUAUACAUUAGUAUUCUAUAUUAUUUACUGUCAAUAGUCUGUUCGUAUAAUUCCCUGCAUGUGAAUGGUAUUUUCCUGCUUACUUAAUUUGAAAAAAACGUAAUUCAAAGCAAUCAUAGAUUCUGUCAUCUUAUGUUCUUGCUAAAUGUUCUAAUUUGUCUUCUCAUUCUUAAGCAUCAUUAUUCAUUUCUAGUUAGUAGGAAAUAUAUCAUUCAUCUCAAGCUGUUGCUUUCAGAGUGAUGGUCAAACAUAGCUUUUUAUUUGCUGGUGUCCUUUGGUGAAACUUAGAUGUCCUUCCAAGUCUGUCUCAAAUAUUCACUCCUUAGUAAGAUGUUCCUCUUCAUGUGCAUUGUUAUUGACUUCUAAGUUUAAGCCUCUUUUUUGGCCUUGUGUUUAAUUUAUUCCUAGAUUAUUUUCUUUUUCCACUGUCAUGCUUUUCAAAUCUGACACUAUCGCCUGAGCAAGUGAAACACCACUUCACAUCAUGGGAGAAAUAGACUAGACCUCUCCUCUUGGCUCAUAUUAUGUGGCAAAUGUGUUGAGCUGAGAGAUAUCUGAGCUUUGGGUUAAAAGAUAAUGGGUUGAGGAAUUAGUUUUAAAUUCUAUGCAUGUAACUUGGAGAAAGGAUAAUCUGAGUGUCUGUUAUCUAAACCUGUGACUCCUCUCAGCAUACUGUGGAUGAGGUCCAUUAUACAUCACAUUUAUUGAAAAUAAUACAACUGUAUGUUUUCAUUAUGUUCUAGAACAUUUUACAUCAUGUGUAAAUCUGUCUUCAAAGAUACAGGAUCUUGGGGGUUAGCACUGUGGCUCAGUGUGUUAAAGCCUUGGUCUGUGCUGCCAGCAUCCCUUAUGGGCACCUGUUCAGGUCCUAGCUGCUCCACUUCCAAUUCUCAGCUCUCUGCUAAUGUGCCUGGGAGAACAGUGGAGGAUGGCAAAAGUCCUUCAGCCCCUGCACCCAUGUGGGAGACCCGGAAGAAGCUCUUGGCUUUGGACUGUCUUGUGGCCAUUUGGAGAGUGAUCAAGUAAAUGAACAAUUUCUCUCUCUCUCCCUCUCCCUCUCCCUCCUUCUCUCUCCACUUCCCCCACCCCGUAACUUGGUCUUUCAAAUAAAUCAUUUAAAAAAAAAAAAACUUACAGGAAUCUUCAAAUGCAACUGGCAAAGAGGAGGGAAGAAGGUCUAGAGCAUAUGAAAUAGGACUGGGAUCUAAAUGGAAUAUAGGAAUGGUUCCCAAGGUCAGGAUCAGAAUGGCUUUGUAACUAUUUGGCAGCACAACAUAAACAGUGCACAAAAGGGGCUAAUGAACUCAAGCUAGGUUUAAGCCAGUGCAUAUGUCCGUAUGUCGAAGAAAGGCUACUGUUGGUUAAUAGGUCUUGGGAGCAGUGAUGCGUACGGUAUGAUAACACUAGAUGUCAUAUUGAUGAAAGCUUGACAGACUGAUAGUAUUCAAAAAGUCAUUAUUUCUAUGGAAGAACCCAGCCAAAAAAUAAUAUUAGGAGAGUCGGGUGUAUCUAAGGUGAAGAGAGGGUAUCAGGGAACCAUUUAGUUCAGCUGGGCUCCAGCUAUAUCUUCAGUUUUACAAUAAGUCAAAGAAAUUCCAUUGUAUGCAUUAGGCCAAUAUGAGAGGUAAGUUCUAUUUAAAUAGGCUAAAUAAGCACACUGCCUCAUGUGCAUAUCCUAGCCAGACUUAUGACAUGUUAACACUAUGAUAAAAUAUCUAAAGUUCAAAUUAACAUCAUAGUGUCUCCAUUUUUCGUGUCCAUCUUCAGUUUAGAUCAUGGAUUCUUCAGAGCAGACAUAAAAUUCCUUUCGGUUCGGAAUCUCAGUGCCUAGGCCGAUGCCCAACACAAGCACACAAGAAAUGCUUAUGGACAAGUGAAUGAAUGAGAGAACUAACAAAGCCGUAUUCCAAGGACGUAAGAUACAACUCUGAAAAUGCAUGCCUUCAUCACUUAAUUAAGCAGGGUUCAAGCUAGGGAUGAUUUAAUGUCUGUGACAGAUGGUGGGCUCUGGAUGAGGAAGAAGUCAAGGCUGUCUUCUCCCCCAUCCUCUGCUUCUUUCUGAACCAACAGGAUGUGAAACUCUGUCCUAAGAACACAGUGCCGCGUGCCGCCAUGAGUGUGCUUCCUUCUGGUGUGGUGCUAGCAAAACAAUGGCUAGCAUAUAUCCUAGUGGUAGAAGGUUCUUGCUCUGUGAUAUUGCCCCAUGAUGUCUUGUGAGUGUGACUGUUUCAUUGUGGAGCUCAAUAAAACUGUCCAGGAAGGGAAAAUAAAAAAGGUAUUCGUGUUCUUUUUUCGCUCACAUCAGAUUUUUUUUUUCACUGAGGACUUUAAUGAGAAAGAGUCUGAAAACUAGUAUUCUUCAUGGAAUUUUUCUGUUCUGGCAUCAUAUUGGUUUACCACAAUCCUAUCGGUUUUCUAGAUAAUUAGCACUUUGCUGUGGGAGGUGUUAAUGGCUGCAUUCAUUUGGAGGCUGUUUGGAUUAAUUGUGCAGUUGAUGAUCCUGAACUGUUCAGGCCCGAACUUCAUUGCCAUAAAUACAGAGGAGUGCUUGUCCUCAACUUGUAACAAGGAAUGCAUUUUGUCAAACUGCUUCUUAAAAUCCAAAAUUUGGGACUUAAGUAAUACUUUUUUAAAAAAAAUUUUUGGCUUAAUCUUCACACCUACUUAUUUCAGAGUGUUGAAUUACCAAGUAAGCCAGGAGAAGAUUAUACUAAAAAUGGGACUUUCAUAUUUGAGAAGGUAUUGAACAGAGAUUUUGCAGAAACCUCAUGGGAUUUUAUUCAAAAUAUAACUUGAUUAAUUUUCAAUAAUACUCUCUGGUUUUGGAAAACUGCCUCUGAAAGUCUCUCUUUUUCUUCCUGAUGUAUGUAAAGAUGUUUUAGCUUCUUUAAUUUUUUUAAAGUAGUGUUACAGAGGAUUAUUGAAGAUCUAAAUCCCUGGUGAAUGCUGUUGGUUUAAGUUUCUGAAAAGAUUUAUGAUAACAGUUGUUUUGGAAAAGUAUGUUCAAGCAUAAAAUUCUACUAAAUCCAACUAUUUGGCCCAAAAUGUGCCGAGUGCCUACUCUGUAUAAUGCUUGUCAGAUGUUCCAGACAAAAUUGAUUAUAAUUUGAAGUUAGCGCAGUCAGUCCAGCUUUGUUUUUCUCAAGCAGGAUGCAGGAGACCUGGUUCAUCCCUCAGAUUCCUGCAAGGGCUGGGACUGUGCCUGGGCUGGGAAGCUGAGUACUGGGAACACAGCCCAGGUCUUCUACAGGUGAGGCAGGAACCCUGAGUGACAUCAAGAUCUUUGAGAAGAUCUGGGGGCAGGUCAGGCACCCUAAGCUAAGGUUGCCUGAAGUAGCAGGUUCUUGGAAUUCUCAAGUCAAGGAGGUAUGCGACCAAGAAGGGCAACUAUAGCAUUACCCAAGGUUCUCGGGUAAGAUGUGCAGGAGGAUGAGACACAGAGACUCCAGAAUGAAGAGGGCUCACAGAAGAAAUGACUCUCCCUCUACCUGGACUCUUCUCCUGACAUCUCUAGCAUGCCACCUCCUGUCACCUGUGUCUCCUCCUGGGGAGGCUUUUACUGCUAAUCCAUUAUGAAUCAGCACUGCCCACACAUUUUCUAGCCCCCCCCCCCAUAUAAUUUUCUUUUUAACACUACUUAGCAAGGUCCUAGAGGACAUCAAAAAGUUCAUGGAAAAUGGAAUUAAAAGAUGUUUAUUUUCGUGCAAAAAAUACUGUGAUAUCCAUGCAUACAAGGGCUCUUCAAAACACUCAUGGAGGGAGCCAUUGUGACAUAUUGGGUUAAGACCCCCCCUGUGAUGCUGGCAUCCAAAUUGGAAGCCAGUUCAAAUCCUGACUAUUCCACUUCUGAUCCAGCUGCCUACUGAUGUGCCUGGGAAAGCAGUGGAGGGUGGGCCAAGUGAACUAAUGUGCGAGACCAGGAAGAAGUUCUUGGAUUGAGCUCAGCCCAGCCCUGGCUGUGGUAGACAUUUGGGGAAAGAACUGGCAGACAAAAGAUUUCUCUGUCUCUCCUCUUAUAAUUCUGCCAUUAUGUUAAAUAAAUAUGUCUUUAAACACUUGGGGCAGGUGCUGUGGCAUAGUGCUGCUGAGUCGUCUGUUCCACUUCCAAUGCAGCUCUCCGCUAUGGCCUGGCAAAGCAGUAGAAGAUGGUACAAGUCCUUGGGGCCCUGAACCAGUGUGGGAGACACAGAAGAAGCUCCUGGUUUUGGGUCAGCUCAGCUCUGGCUGUUGAGGUCAUUUGGGGCCAGCGCUGUGGCAUAGCAGGUUAAUACCCUGGCCUGAAGUGCCAGCAUCCCAUAUGGGCAGCCAGUUCAAAAGCCAGCUGCUCCACUUCCCAUCCAGCUCUCUGCUAUGGCCUGGGAAAGCAGUAGAAGAUGGCCCAAGUCCUCGGGCCCCUGCACCUGCGUGGGAGACCCGGAAGCAGCUCCUGGCUUCAGAUUGGCACAGCUCUGGCUGUUGCCGCUAUCUGGGGAGUAACCAGUGGAUAAAAGUAUUUCUCUGUCUUUCUGGCUCUGCUAGCUCUGUGUAACUCUGACUUUCAAAUAAAUAAAUAAAUCUUUAAAAAAUUAAAUCUUGAAAAAAACUCAUGAAAAAUGUGCAUUAUGAGAAAACUGCAUGAAUUUCAAAAAUUAUUGCAACAAAAUAAUUUAUUUUUAAUUCCAUUUUUUCCACAAGCCAUUUGAAAUACCUUGUAUAACAAAUGGUUAUAUAUUUGUUAAUCUUUUUAAGAUUUAUUUAUUUGAAAGGCAGAGAGGCAGAGAGAGAGAGGUCUUCUAUCUGAUGGUUCAGUCCCCAAAUGGCCACAAUGGCCAGAGCUGAGUUGAUCCGAAAUCAGGAGCCAGGAGCUUCUUCUGGGUCUCCCAUGUGGGUUCAGGGAGCCAAGAACUUGGACCAUCUUCUGCUGUAUUCCCAGGCCAUAGCAGAGAGCUGGAAAGUAAGUGGAGCAGCCGGGACUAGAACUGGCAGACAUAUGGGAUGCCAGCACUGCAGUUGGCGGCUUUACCUGCUGUGCCACAGUACUAUAUUUAUCUUUUGCCACUAAAACAAAAACAAAGCCUCUUGAGGGGAGGGUCUUGAUGAAUUUUGUUCAUCUCUGUUUUUCUGGCGUUUAGAUCAGUGGUUGACAGGUACUAGGGCCUGCUGAGUGAAUGUAUUUGUUCUGAGAAAUAAAUGAUCCCAGAAUGCCUGCCUGUAGGAAAGUGGGAAAGUUGAAUUAGGACCACAGGCAACAAUGAGUGAAGGGUAACUAGUAGCAAUAGGAAGGGUUGCAGGUAGGUGGGAGGGCAGAAAUACUUUUAGAAUUAAAAUGAUAAAUAUCAAACUCCAAGAUCUUUGACAAGUGCUGGGGGGUGGGGGGAAUGGAUGAGUCAUGAGGCCUAAGGUGCCAUUCAAAUUCAUGAGGAUGAGAAGUUGUAGAACAAGAUUCCAGGAGAGAAAUCUCUGAAGUUGCUCUGAAUUUUCGGGGUAGGAGAGGGGGAAACCUGGGCUCAGUGUUUUGAAGCAGCAGGUCAGAAAUAAAUACCCCCAAGGACAGGGCUGGAAGAGGAGAACCAGCCUUUCCUGAGGGCCUCCCAGGGCCCAUGUAUCCUUGCCUCUGGCUUCUGGGGAGAACUAGGAUGCUCGGAGGGUGAAAUGCUCAGUUACGCGAGAAUCCACACAGCCGCAGUUAGACCAGUUUUGUGGUACAAAGUCCCACGCUUGCACUACAAGAUCCUCCCCUGCUCAGUUUUCCCUUCUGAGUUCCACAUCCCCCAUUCUGUUUGUUUCUUUCUUCCUUUUAACUGAUUGUCCUAAAUAGGAAAUAUUUUAGAAGUUUUUUAAAGCCAUUCGAAGUCAUUUUUCUCUCUUCUCUCCUAGUUUGGAGGGAAGAUUUGAGAAAGCUCAAAAGACUACAAGUAAACUACUUUCCAGGAUCAGCAGGGUUUUUAGCUAGUAUUUUUGGUGCAUAAAGGGGAAAAAAAAGCACCUGAGAACAAAUCACAGUAAUAAAAGAAAAUGGUGUCAACAUUUGUUUGAAAAAUAAAUGCAUUAUAACUUAAAUUUCUAGAAUUUAGCCAAGGAAAAUUAUAUCUCCAUUAACUUAAAAUACCUUCGUUCCUAAAGAUUUAGCUACUGCCUGCAAAAUGCCCCAUGUGACAUACUUAGGAGUUAUGGGGAUAAUGGUUGUUAAGAAAAUCUCUAGGAGGUUCCAAAAGGAUUGAAAUGAUUUAGGCAUAAAAUAGAAUUUUAGCUGAGUUUAUAGCAAUGCUGCAAUAUGUAUUUUUAAUUUUGCGCAUGGGGAUUGACUAUAGGACAAAAUAAGAUUUCCAAAAAACAUGGAGUCUGUUAUAAAGGCAAAAUGCAGCUGUGUGUUCUGUUAUACCACUGAUUACACAUUUGCAAUGAAGGUGACAUGCCUAUUGUAUAGGUAUGCCUACAAGUUGCCUAACUGUUCAUGAGAUCCCUAGUUAAGAUUAGGUCUGAUGGAAAUGUAGUCAAUGUAGUCAUGACUUUUUCAUUGCCUGUAUGAUGCACAUUUUCAUUACUUUUAGUUUUGUAAAACUUUGUGUAUUGCAUAUUUCUGAGAUUAGUUCUUUAAUAAGUCAGUGGCAGCUCUCAAUUAGGAACUUUCAAAUUAAGUUGGCUCUCCACGGGAACAUGGAAUAUCCUACAGAGAAAAAAAUCAUCUACUUAUUCAAAAACAUGUAUUUAUCAAUGUGUACAUAUUUGAUAUUUCCCUAUGAUCUGAAUACACAGGAAUGAAAAAAGGUAAAAUAUCCCUACCCUCCUGGAGCUUAAAUCCAGUAAAGGUGAGAGAACACACACACCU
Oryctolagus cuniculus (rabbit) is the source of this 39935-nucleotide non-coding RNA. NCBI's taxonomy places the organism in Eukaryota, Metazoa, Chordata, Mammalia, Lagomorpha, Leporidae. The record is from RefSeq and is a predicted model, not a curated record.